This 28-nucleotide non-coding RNA is filed under the name Rattus norvegicus (Norway rat). Lineage: Eukaryota; Metazoa; Chordata; Mammalia; Rodentia; Muridae. The record is from RNAcentral.
UGAGAUUUAAAUGACAAUGCCCACAUAG